CCCCCCCCCCCCCCCCCUCUCCUCAACCUCUUCUUCUUUUAUUCUGAUUCUGUGGUUAUGGAAAUUUGCGCAAUGACUGAUUUGCCUAGUUUAUUGACUGGUUGAUCUGUUUCUAGAGAUAUUUAAAAAAAAAAAAGGUGUGUGCAUUGUUAACUUCUGAAGCUAUUUGGUGCAUUUUCUUGCAUUUGUAGUACAUUGAGGCUGGAGCUACAUUUUUUCGACGUAUCGUAUGGCUUGAUUAUAAGGAUUAUCCCAAGUUUGGCUUACUUAUGCUCGGGAAAGAAUGAGAGCAACUUUGGUUAAAUUUUGCUAUUAUGUUUAUGGAUUUCAGUUCAAAAUAGUAAAACGUCCAUUCUUGUUGAACAUAUCCCUUUGGUGUUCGUUCUUCCGAGUAAUCUGCUAUAUAUGUAUAUUGGCUAACUGAUGCAAGCAGCUCUAAGCUCAAGUUCAGCUCAUAGAAAUGGCUGAGUCUAAUUUUUUAGCUCAAAGUUGGCUCAUUUGAUCAAUGGCUCAGAUGAAAUGUGUAAGUUGCACUGGAGCUACUUGGAUUGAUUUUGACUUAUUC
RNAcentral lists this unclassified non-coding RNA (565 nucleotides) under Hevea brasiliensis (rubber tree). Lineage: Eukaryota; Viridiplantae; Streptophyta; Magnoliopsida; Malpighiales; Euphorbiaceae. The record is from RNAcentral.